CCAGAGAUGGCGGAGCGGUCAAUCGCACCUGACUGUAAAUCAGGCGUCCUUAGGGCUUCGGAGGUUCGAAUCCUUCUCUCUGGA
This 84-nucleotide transfer RNA is filed under the name Pseudomonadota bacterium. Its description in RNAcentral is "tRNA-Tyr". It matches the Rfam family "tRNA". Rfam says of the family: Transfer RNA (tRNA) molecules are approximately 80 nucleotides in length. Their secondary structure includes four short double-helical elements and three loops (D, anti-codon, and T loops). RNAcentral also lists the same sequence under 1 other name. Lineage: Bacteria; Pseudomonadati; Pseudomonadota. The record is from RNAcentral.